Molecule: long non-coding RNA, 351 nt
Organism: Episyrphus balteatus (marmalade hoverfly)
Lineage: Eukaryota; Metazoa; Arthropoda; Insecta; Diptera; Syrphidae
Exons: 3
Source: RefSeq, a predicted model, not a curated record
ACGCUAAACAUCUAAUGAUCUAUUGAUCACCAACUUAAUUGUGGUAAAUAUCAAUAUUUCAUUAGCGACCAGUCACAAAAGAACGAAAAGCCAAAGAAAAUAAAGAAAUAAAAAAGCGGAAGUGAUCUUUGACCAUAUGAAACAACCUAGACAGGGCUUUACUGGCACCUUCAAAAUUAUAAAAGGUGAGCUGUCGAAAAAAAAAACACUUUAUUAUUUUAACACCACCAUAAAAUUUCUCCAGAUUUUAUAAAGAUUCUCACACCUGCCCGUGUUUUUGUAUGUUUAUUUCUUUUCCUGGAAAUUGAGGAGACUACCAAAAUUGAAAGUAAUUUAUUCAAUAAAUUAACU